RNAcentral lists this ribosomal RNA (394 nucleotides) under uncultured bacterium. RNAcentral describes it as "partial 16S ribosomal RNA". It matches the Rfam family "Bacterial small subunit ribosomal RNA", at positions 338 to 729 of the family's 1533-position model. The record is from RNAcentral.
CCUACGGGUGGCAGCAGUGAGGAAUAUUGGUCAAUGGACGGAAGACUGAACCAGCCAAGCCGCGUGAAGGAGGACGGCACUGUGAAUUGUAAACUUCUUUUGUAAGGGAAUAAAGACUGGGACGUGUAGCGGUUUGAGUGUAUCUGACGAAUAAGGAUCGGCUAACUCCGUGCCAGCAGCCGCGGUAAUACGGAGGAUGCGAGCGUUAUCCGGAUUUAUUGGGUUUAAAGGGUGCGUAGGCGGUCGGUUAAGUUAGAGGUCAAAGGGCGGGGCUUAACCCCGUGCCCGCCUGUGAUACUGUUAGUCUAGAGUGCGGUGGAAGUAGGCGGAAUGCGCGGUGUAGCGGUGAAAUGCUUAGAUAUCACGCAGAACUCCGAUUGCGAAGGCAGCUUGC